Molecule: ribosomal RNA, 490 nt
Filed under: uncultured bacterium
Lineage: Bacteria
Description: partial 16S ribosomal RNA
Rfam family: Bacterial small subunit ribosomal RNA
Source: RNAcentral
AUUGAACGCUGGCGGCAGGCCUAACACAUGCAAGUCGAACGGUAACAGGAAGAAGCUUGCUUCUUUGCUGACGAGUGGCGGACGGGUGAGUAAUGUCUGGGAAACUGCCUGAUGGAGGGGGAUAACUACUGGAAACGGUAGCUAAUACCGCAUAACGUCGCAAGACCAAAGAGGGGGACCUUCGGGCCUCUUGCCAUCGGAUGUGCCCAGAUGGGAUUAGCUAGUAGGUGGGGUAACAGCUCACCUAGGCGACGAUCCCUAGCUGGUCUGAGAGGAUGACCAGCCACACUGGAACUGAGACACGGUCCAGACUCCUACGGGAGGCAGCAGUGGGGAAUAUUGCACAAUGGGCGCAAGCCUGAUGCAGCCAUGCCGCGUGUAUGAAGAAGGCCUUCGGGUUGUAAAGUACUUUCAGCGGGGAGGAAGGGAGUAAAGUUAAUACCUUUGCUCAUUGACGUUACCCGCAGAAGAAGCACCGGCUAACUCCGUG